Colletes gigas is the source of this 784-nucleotide long non-coding RNA. RefSeq lists it as uncharacterized. NCBI's taxonomy places the organism in Eukaryota, Metazoa, Arthropoda, Insecta, Hymenoptera, Colletidae. The record is from RefSeq and is a predicted model, not a curated record. The transcript has 3 exons.
CGUUCGAACGAUUUCCACACGUGGCGUGUCCCGGUUGGUCGUUGAACGACUACCUAUACAAUAACAACAAUAAUCGUCUUUACGGCCAUCGAACAUUCCCGACGACCAAUGAACAGUGGUCAAUUGCGCGCCAUGGAACCUGUUCCUGUUUCUUCCCAUUUCCCAACCUCCAUCAACUCUAAUAUUUACAAGUACUUACUCGACGUGUAGGUACAUAAACAUGUUUUCAGAUGAGGACCUUAGACCAUAGUCAGGGCCGUACGAAGAAAUGUUUGAUCCAGUGUUGCCAUUUUUAGAGGUAGAAAAUGAAAAAAAGGUAGUGCAAUUACGGGCACGAAACGGCACCCUUAAGCAAGAUGUCAUGCACGGCCCUGAGUGCAGCAGACGGUGCCGACUUUCGAUAGUUCGGUUUACUACCACGCUAUAUCGUGGCGCGGACUGUACCUAUGGUGUUCUAUGGAGUAAAGUCGAAGAUUUGCGCGCAAUAUGUCCCUCGAUUCCUUCUUCCAGCGUUAUACAAGCGGCGAAAAGAAGUGAUCUCAUGUUUAAAAGAGACGAGCGAUGAUAUCGUAUUCGACGGCAGAGACGAUCUCAUAGAGCACCAUUAUAAAAACCCUUACAGCUAUGUGUGUGCGUUGAAUGACUUAAUAUUAAGUUGGACACGUGCAACAAGGAAACCGCUUCGUCUUGAUCGUUAUUACAAAUAAUAUUAAGCCCCUUUGCAUUCUAAUCGGGUCGCUAUGGCGAUACAUAUUGUAUACAUACGUAUGUACAUGAUAUGUGU